Molecule: long non-coding RNA, 1666 nt
Organism: Mytilus californianus (California mussel)
Lineage: Eukaryota; Metazoa; Mollusca; Bivalvia; Mytilida; Mytilidae
Exons: 3
Source: RefSeq, a predicted model, not a curated record
CAGGCACUCAACGUUGAAUAAACGUUGAAAUGAGGUUGAAAUGGUGAUCAACGUGUAUUCAACGUUGAAACAACGUUACAUUUUCAACGUUGAGUAAUAAACAAAUAUUCAACGUUGAAUUAACGUUGAUCAUUUCAACGUUGAAAUCGGAACGUUGAUUCAACAUUGAAUAAACGUUAACUUAUUUACUUAUGGUAGGCCUAUAUGAGGCCUAUAUAAAAAAAAUCAUUAACUGAAGGCAAUACAUGCAUGAACGUAGCAGUAUAUAUUUAUAAAGAAAAGAAUAAGAUAGAGUUUCGGUUUUCACAAAAAUAUCAUGAUAAAAUGAGAUCUCAAAUAAAAAUUCUGUGUUUGUGGGAGGAGGUAAAUCGUUUGAUACUGAUCGAAUUUCUAGGUAAAAAGAAAUAGAAUGCAUUAAUUUCAUUUCACAUAAUAUGAAUGAAUAUUUUGAACAUGUUAAGGAAUUUAAAAUAGUUGAUUAUUACCAAAAUUGUGAUUUUUUUUUUAAUUCAUAUUUUCGCGGGAUUUGAACAGGAAGUUAGAUUGCCCAUGCGCAAUAUUUAAACCCGCAUCUUUCCUGUUUUGAAAAAGAUAGAACAACAAAGAACGAAGUCGAGGAGAAUCUUUCCGUUUAUCAACCAUGAAUCUUGUCAAACAAAUCAAUGGCUGAAAUGCAUCAAGUGGAACAAAAUCAAAAUUCAGUUUUGGGAAUUCCAGUCUAUAAAAUCAUUGAAGAGGUUAAAUAUACUGCAAAAGUAUAAAGAUGUCACUGAGAAACACAUAUCUGAUAAAGAUCCCUCCUGCUUGAACUUGAAGUCUGCCUCAGAAAGAUCUCGAAGUGGUGGAAGAAAGUUGACAUGCAAAAAGAGACAAAGAUAGCAAAUGAAUUUAUAAAAUAAAUUUUGUAUCAAAAGAAAUAUCAUUGUAUUACUAAAUUUGAUAUUGCUCCUUAGUAAAUUUGUAUUCAUUUAAUUGUUUAUACCAAUUAUAGGUGUGAGGGUAAUAUAUAUAUUUACACGUAUAUACAAUCAAGGACAAUUGGUUUUUUGUGGAGAGUUGUCUGAUUUAAUAGCAGUCAUGCAGCAUCUUCAUAUUUUCAGAAGUAUUGCUAUCAUCCUGAAAACAAGUUGGAUCUAAUAAUGUCUUCACUCUUCUUGGGAUAUACUACUUUUAAGAAGGGCUUAACAUUGGUCAGUCGUUUAAUAUUUAAAGGACUAUUUGUUUAGAACUAUUCAACAUCAUCUUUCUGUUUGGUGAUGCUUUCUGUGGUGGGAAUAAAGUGUAUGUCAUAAUUUUUAUUCAAAUUCAUUGAAUGAUUUGUAUUUUUAUAGCUAUUCACAACAAGAAAAACUACAAGUAAGAAUAUAUCAAAAAAUGGUAGGUGUCCACUUGUAUAUCAAUUUAGAUAAUUAUGUUUAGUUAUCUUGAAAUACAAUUGGACACACACAAUCAUUUCAGCUAUUCCUUCAUGUAGUUUUUCUUGUUCCUAAUAGAUAAAUACACAUUUUUCAAUAAAUUUAACAUUUAAAUACGAGAGACACAGAAGCCAACAGGAUCUUAAGAUAUGACAUUUAUGGUCUAGAUUAUUGACUGUACAAGCACGGAAUGUUGUAUCAGUAACAAUUGAUGUAUUUAUUUAGAUGUCAAUUUAACUUAGCUGUCUUGG